RNAcentral lists this ribosomal RNA (381 nucleotides) under uncultured eukaryote. RNAcentral's name for it is "partial 18S ribosomal RNA". It matches the Rfam family "Eukaryotic small subunit ribosomal RNA", at positions 592 to 976 of the family's 1831-position model. The record is from RNAcentral.
CAAUAGCGUAUAUUAAAGCUGUUGCGGUUAAAAAGCUCGUAGUUGGAUUUCUGUCAAGGACAACUGGUCCGCCCCUCGGGUGAGCACAUAGUUUGGUCUUGGCAUCUUGUUGGAAACUGUUGCUGCACUUGGUUGUGUGGCGCAGUGUCCAGCACUUUCACUUUGAGGAAAUUGGAGUGUUUCAAGCAGGCACAUGCCUUUGGACACAGUAGCAUGGAAUAAUUAGAUUGGGCUUUUGCUCCAACUUGUCGGUUUCUGGUGCUGAGGUGAGAAUUAAUGGGGAUUGUUGGGGGCAUCCGAAUUUAGCCGUCAGAGGUGAAAUUCUUGGAUCUGCUAAAGACGGACAACUGCGAAAGCGUUUGCCCAGGAUGUUUUCAUUGA